CAUGUCCUUUUGUGAUUAAUUUAAGGUUUGACCUGCUCAAUGAAAGUUAAAUAGCCGCAGUAUUUUGACUGUGCAAAGGUAGCAUAAUAAUUAGUUUCUUAAUUAGGAACUGGAAUGAAUGGUUGGACAAGAGAAUUACUGUCUCUUUUUUAAUAUUUUUGAAUUUUAUUUUUAAGUGAAAAAGCUUAAAUUUUUAUAAAAGACGAGAAGACCCUAUAGAGUUUAAUAUUUUUUUAAUAUAAUAUAUUAGUAUAUUAAUUUUUAAAUAAAAUAUUUGGUUGGGGUGACUGAGAGAAAUAAAUAAUUCUUUUAAUUUUAAAUUGAUAAUUUUCAAUUUUUAAAUCUAUAAUUUAUAAAAUUAAAAUAAAUUACCUUAGGGAUAACAGCGUAAUUUUUCUUUAAAGUUCUUAUUAAAAGGAAAGUUUGCGACCUCGAUGUUGGAUUAAAAUUAAUUUUUGGUGCAGUAACUUAAAAAUUAGGUCUGUUCGACCUUUAAAAUUUUACAUGAUCUGAGUUUAAACCGGUGUGAGCCAGGUUGGAUUCUAUCUUUAGAAAAUUUUUAUAUUUUAGUACGAAAGGACCAAAUAUAAAUUAAAUUAAUUG
RNAcentral lists this ribosomal RNA (603 nucleotides) under Cautires sp. UPOL 000060. RNAcentral's name for it is "partial 16S ribosomal RNA". It matches the Rfam family "Bacterial large subunit ribosomal RNA", at positions 1827 to 2714 of the family's 2925-position model. The record is from RNAcentral. Lineage: Eukaryota; Metazoa; Arthropoda; Insecta; Coleoptera; Lycidae.